AAAGGUCUCCACACGUCCCUCAGUCCGCAGUCAACAUAUCCCUCCAAAGGGUAGAUGGAAAAAAUAAACCACGGCUGGCUAAGGUUCCUGGGACCCAAUCCUGCAGGAUAUAGUGCAAAUCAAACAACAGCAAUCCAACAGGGAGGGAUGAUGAUCUUGUUUUACAUUUCUUUAUUGCUGUCACCAAACUACAGAUGCAAAGAGAGACACAUCUAUGUGGCAUUGUUCUUCAAAGUAGAAUCAUUUUCUUGGUUUUGGUUUUACCUUGAUAAUGUUGUUCAUGUCCUGUUUAAGAUGGAUAAUGCUCCUUUCACUGCCAAUAACCGCUUGUAAGUUAAGGCCAUUCGGCUUCCCACGCACAGCUGCUGAUAAGGAAAGUCGCAGGAGACGCUGGAAAGAUUAGGCCUUUCAAAGCUUUUAAGAUUCACAAGUGUCAGCUCCUUGGAUGGACUUGCUUGAAAGAGUUUCCUAUCUGAAAGAUGUCACAUGUUGCAUUGAUAGGCAGCUAUUCAGUGGAUGGCAGACAGCCAAUAUAUCACUCAGCAGAGAUUUCCUUAUCCUCUCAGGCAUGUCUUACAAAAUCUACAGUUUCUAUCUUCAAAUGGCAUGAUUCAAUGUCAAGCAGUUUAUGUUCUGUUUAAACUUAUGUACUUACUUUGGAUCAGCACUGGCGUCCUUCCCCCCUUCUACAACCACAAAAACUCUUCCUUCUAUAUUCAUGUUCAGAUACUGGUCAACUCCCCUCUCUUAAAUAAACCAAGCAUGCAUUUAUAAGAGAUACAA
Long non-coding RNA from Rhineura floridana, 783 nucleotides. RefSeq lists it as uncharacterized. Lineage: Eukaryota; Metazoa; Chordata; Lepidosauria; Squamata; Rhineuridae. The record is from RefSeq and is a predicted model, not a curated record. The transcript has 2 exons.